GACGAACGCUGGCGGCGUGGAUUAGGCAUGCAAGUCGAACGGUAGGAUACCUUCGGGUAUCUGAGAGUGGCGAACGGGUGAGUAACACGUAGGUGAUCUACCCUCAAGAUUGGGACAACCCAGGGAAACUUGGGCUAAUACUGGAUGAAAGCAGCAGUGAUGUUGUUUGAAAGGUGGCGUAAGCUGCCGUUUGGGGAUGAGCCUGCGCUCUAUUAGUUAGUUGGCGGGGUAAAGGCCCACCAAGGCGAUGAUAGAUAGGCGGCCUUAACGGGUGGUCGCCCACACUGGGAUUGAGAUACGGCCCAGACUCCUACGGGAGGCAGCAGUCGAGAAUAGUCUACAAUGGCCGAAAGGCUGAUAGUGCGACGCCGCGUGAACGAAGAAGCCCUUCGGGUGUAAAGUUCUUUUAUAUGUGAGCAGUGCUUUCUAUGUGAACAGCAUGGGGAAGAGAUAUUAGCAUAUGAAUAAGCAACGGCUAACUCCGUGCC
This 488-nucleotide ribosomal RNA is filed under the name uncultured bacterium. Its description in RNAcentral is "bacterial SSU rRNA". It matches the Rfam family "Bacterial small subunit ribosomal RNA", at positions 28 to 509 of the family's 1533-position model. The record is from RNAcentral.